Molecule: ribosomal RNA, 301 nt
Filed under: uncultured bacterium
Lineage: Bacteria
Description: partial 16S ribosomal RNA
Rfam family: Bacterial small subunit ribosomal RNA
Source: RNAcentral
CAGCCGCCGCGGUAAUACGUAGGUGGCAAGCGUUGUCCGGAAUUAUUGGGCGUAAAGGGCUCGCAGGCGGUUUCUUAAGUCUGAUGUGAAAGCCCCCGGCUCAACCGGGGAGGGUCAUUGGGAACUGGGAAACUUGAGUGCAGAAGAGGAGAGUGGAAUUCCACGUGUAGCGGUGAAAUGCGUAGAGAUGUGGAGGAACAUCAGUGGCGAAGGCGACUCUCUGGUCUGUAACUGACGCUGAGGAGCGAAAGCGUGGGGAGCGAACAGGAUUAGAUACCCCUGUAGUCCCUGUCUCUUAUAC